Molecule: transfer RNA, 75 nt
Filed under: Candidatus Desantisbacteria bacterium CG2_30_40_21
Lineage: Bacteria; Candidatus Desantisiibacteriota
Also listed under: 7 other names
Description: tRNA-Asn
Rfam family: tRNA
About the family: Transfer RNA (tRNA) molecules are approximately 80 nucleotides in length. Their secondary structure includes four short double-helical elements and three loops (D, anti-codon, and T loops).
Source: RNAcentral
UCCUCGGUAGCUCAAUGGUAGAGCAUUCGGCUGUUAACCGAAAUGUUGUAGGUUCGAGUCCUACCCGAGGAGCCA